This 586-nucleotide long non-coding RNA is filed under the name Prunus persica (peach). Its description in RNAcentral is "long non-coding RNA (PPER_LNC001633)". Lineage: Eukaryota; Viridiplantae; Streptophyta; Magnoliopsida; Rosales; Rosaceae. The record is from RNAcentral.
CCAACAGUAAUAAUAAAUAGGAUUUAAAUCCAAUAACCAUAUCAAAAUCCAUUCACAUACUCAAAAUUAGUCAAACCUUUUAAAUAUAGUUUAUUUCGCUGCUGCACCUAGGUGAGAACCCAGACUACCUACGCACCCCUUGGUGAGGGAUCUAGCCACGCGUAGUUCUUAUUUCAAAAAUCGCGGUUCGGAUAACAUACAAUCAUUUCAGUAAUACUAAUAAGUUAAUUCUAGAAUUAUCUUUUCCCCAUAAUUUAAAUCACACUAUACCAAACAUAAUCCUCUUUAAACAUUAAUCUUUUCCCAAUAGUAUACUAAUCCUUUUUCAUUCUACCCAUUACUUUACUACACGUUGGAGAAUCCAACGCCACGCGUAGUGACUAGAGUGUCCAGAUCCUUUACCACACGUUGGAAUAAUCCAACGCCACGUAUGGUAAAGUAACCAGCAUCCAAGUGAGCACACACGCAUGAAAAUCCAACGCCACUUGUGGCCCAACUAAACCAUGUCCUACGUGCCCAAACUGCUUUAUCACACGCCAAAAAAUCUAACGCCACAUGUGAUAAAGUGCAGCAUAACCAAGUAAAC